This 468-nucleotide ribosomal RNA is filed under the name uncultured bacterium. Its description in RNAcentral is "partial 16S ribosomal RNA". It matches the Rfam family "Bacterial small subunit ribosomal RNA", at positions 28 to 507 of the family's 1533-position model. The record is from RNAcentral.
GACGAACGCUGGCGGCGUGCUUAACACAUGCAAGUCGAACGGAAAGGCCCUGCUUUUGUGGGGUGCUCGAGUGGCGAACGGGUGAGUAACACGUGAGUAACCUGCCCUUGACUUUGGGAUAACUUCAGGAAACUGGGGCUAAUACCGGAUAGGAGCUCCUGCUGCAUGGUGGGGGUUGGAAAGUUUCGGCGGUUGGGGAUGGACUCGCGGCUUAUGAGCUUGUUGGUGGGGUAGUGGCUUACCAAGGCUUUGACGGGUAGCCGGCCUGAGAGGGUGACCGGCCACAUUGGGACUGAGAUACGGACAAGACUCCUACUGGAGGCAGCAGUGGGGAAUAUUACACAGUGGGCGGAAGCCUGAUGAAGCAACGCCGCGUGCGGGAUGACGGCCUUCGGGUUGUAAACCGCUUUCGCCUGUGACGCAGCGUGAGUGACGGUAAUGGGUAAAGAAGCACCGGCUAACUACGUG